UCCGUUGGUGAACCUGCGGAGGGAUCAUU
This 29-nucleotide ribosomal RNA is filed under the name Fusarium incarnatum. RNAcentral describes it as "partial 18S ribosomal RNA". Lineage: Eukaryota; Fungi; Ascomycota; Sordariomycetes; Hypocreales; Nectriaceae. The record is from RNAcentral.